GAUGAACGCUGGCGGCGUGCUUAACACAUGCAAGUCGAGCGAAGCAGUUAAGUUGAUUUCUUCGGAUUGAUUCUUAACUGACUGAGCGGCGGACGGGUGAGUAACGCGUGGGUGACCUGCCCCGUACCGGGGGAUAACAGCUGGAAACGGCUGCUAAUACCGCAUAAGCGCACAGAGCUGCAUGGCUCGGUGUGAAAAACUCCGGUGGUAUGGGAUGGGCCCGCGUCUGAUUAGGCAGUUGGCGGGGUAACGGCCCACCAAACCGACGAUCAGUAGCCGGCCUGAGAGGGCGACCGGCCACAUUGGGACUGAGACACGGCCCAAACUCCUACGGGAGGCAGCAGUGGGGAAUAUUGCACAAUGGGGGAAACCCUGAUGCAGUGACGCCGCGUGAGCGAAGAAGUAUUUCGGUAUGUAAAGCUCUAUCAGCAGGGAAGAUAAUGACGGUACCUGACUAAGAAGCCCCGGCUAACUACGUGCCAGCAGCCGCGGUAAUACGUAGGGGGCAAGCGUUAUCCGGAUUUACUGGGUGUAAAGGGAGCGUAGACGGCAAGGCAAGUCUGAUGUGAAAACCCAGGGCUUAACCCUGGGACUGCAUUGGAAACUGUCUGGCUCGAGUGCCGGAGAGGUAAGCGGAAUUCCUAGUGUAGCGGUGAAAUGCGUAGAUAUUAGGAAGAACACCAGUGGCGAAGGCGGCUUACUGGACGGUAACUGACGUUGAGGCUCGAAAGCGUGGGGAGCAAACAGGAUUAGAUACCCUGGUAGUCCACGCCGUAAACGAUG
RNAcentral lists this ribosomal RNA (783 nucleotides) under uncultured bacterium. RNAcentral describes it as "bacterial SSU rRNA". It matches the Rfam family "Bacterial small subunit ribosomal RNA", at positions 28 to 811 of the family's 1533-position model. The record is from RNAcentral.